RNAcentral lists this long non-coding RNA (1136 nucleotides) under Mus caroli (Ryukyu mouse). RNAcentral describes it as "lncRNA (MGP_CAROLIEiJ_G0003689.1)". The record is from RNAcentral. Lineage: Eukaryota; Metazoa; Chordata; Mammalia; Rodentia; Muridae.
GUCUGAGGUGCUCCGCGUUCUCUGGGUAGUCGAAUACAACCUGCUGUCUCUAUGCAAAGGAGCCAAGGUGCUUGUGUGUGUCUCCCAUCUCCAUCAGUGCAUUUGGAAUGGGAAGUGAAGAGAAGAAGAACGAGGCAAGCAACCCUGGCAACCAAUCAUUUUUCCAGGACCUUUGCUGUUGAUGAUCAACACCGAAACACACAAUUGGUCAAUGUGCAGAGGACAAAGAAUAUUGGGAAUUCUCAGCCCUACUUGGAGCAUCUAUAUAACAUUCCUUCCUGGAAGAAGAGUCAGGGAAAGAUUGUAAGAGCCAGAGGCACUGGAUGACUACAACGAAGCAACAUUUUCUGGAUACAGCAGGGCAUUUACACAUGUGAGCUUAUGGAACAGUGGUUAUCCACUUUCCCAGUGCUGCAACCCUUCACUAUAGUUCCUCAUGUUGUUGUGGUCCCAAAUAUAAAAUUAUUUUUGUUGCUACUUCAUUAUUGUAAUUUGCUACUGUUAGGGAUCAUAAUAUAAAUAUCUGUGUUUUCCAGUGAUCUUAAGCAGUCUCUGUGAAAGGGUUGUUUGAACUCCAAGGGAUCACACCCCACAGGUUGAACAUCACUGUUAUAAAUAUUUUAAAAGUAUGCAUCAGACUUAUACAAGCUCAAGCUGGACACGAUUUCAAGAAGCCAGGGGAGGUGGGCAGGAUAUCCCACCCCUCUUUGAGAAGCUAUUGAUAAUUGAUAGUAUCUGGGAGAAGGAUAGUCAGUGUUCUGUAAAGGUGUGGCCUUUGGGAAGUCUCCAAUGAACACUCACACAUGCUAGGACAUAGGGAAAGACAAAUUGGACUUAAUGAUUUUUGUUGUUGUUGUUUUAAAAUUUUUAAAGAAUAUACAAGGUUGGGUAAAUAAAAACGGGGGUAUGGGGAAGCAGGGCAGGAGGGUAUAGGGGGGCUUUGAGGAUAGCAUUUGAAAUGUAAAUGAAAAUAUCUAAGAAAAAAAGAAAAAAAACGAGGGUAUGAAUUGGGAAGGAGUUAGAGGAGGGAGGAAAUAUGAUAAACUAUACUAGAAAAUUCUCAAAGAACUAAUUUUUUAACUUCAAACGUUAAAAUCAUUAUUUCUAAAACAUAAUUAAAGACCAUUUUUUUAAUG